CAAACAAACAAACACAUCCUUAAAGCAAAAACAAGGAAGGAAAUGAGGCAAAAUGUUUAUAUAUAUAUAUAUUACCAGCUUUGUCCAAAAUCUCUUUAAGGUUUGAAACAUCACGGAUUGCGAUACAAGCGUGUCGAUCCCGGCCUCCGUGCUCGGGUCUGCCUGUUAACGGAUCAGGAUUUGGAAGCUCCAUUAAAUGAAUCAUCUCCGAACCUACCCAUAACCAUGCUCCUCUAUACGGAAGCUUAUCAUGUGGUCUUGCCUCGUUGAUCUCAAGUCCUAAAAUGUUCUGGUAAAACUCCAGUGACCGUUCUAAGUUCUUGCAGAGCAGACCAACGUGGUGAACCCCAACAACUCCAUAAUCUAUAGCAUCAACAUGUCUUAUUCUCAACUGUAACAUUAAUCCGAAAACUAUGUUGAGGAGAACUCGGUUUAGUUACCGGUUUGAUUGCAAACCUCUUUCUCUUGUACCACACGGAUCCCUUCAGCUGACCCUUGUGCUUGAUUAGCCUUCAAGCUACCAUUGAGCCUAUCUUUUCUCAGAUUCUUGUUCUUCCGAAAGUCAAAUCGUUCUAUCGUUGAGUGAUGAUUCGUGCAAGUCACCUUCCAAUUACCAAAACCCUUCAUCAUUAGUCCAACACAUACAAUCGAUUUUAAAUGAUAACAAACAAUCUUAACUUCUCAAACUCAGUAUCUCUAGCAAGACCCUAAAAAGUUUACAGAACUAGCGUCGAAGACCAACUCGAGAGAGGUAAGAAUAACCAUGAAAGAGCUAUUUAUUUCUAGAAAUCUGGUAACCUAAUAAUCUAUUAAGUGACUGAGGAAACGUAACUGUUACCUUUGGUCGUAGAUCAACUGAAACUGAAGGUCUGAAAAUAGACGCCAUCGUUCGAUGUCUGUUUCUUUUACGCUCUCAUCAACACAUGAGCAAGAAUCAUCUUCUUGAUUUGGAUAUUAUUAUGGGGUCAAGAAUAUUAAAGAGAGCCCAACAAAAAAACCUGAACCACAGAUUAAAGGUAAAGUUAAGUGAGAAGAGUUUGACAUCCGUGUUUAUUUGUUUGUUCUGUUUUUUUUUUGUCGACACUCUUUAUUAAAAGAAAGGAAUAAGAUUCUCCAUUUUUAUUUCGUUGAUCUUAAGUUCUUAACUAUACUUUGAUGGAUGGAUGUGAACUGAUUUCGCACCUGUUUACACAAAAGUCUGUCCAUCAUCACAUGGGAAAAUAAAAUCUAUGGUGUUUUGAAAUUUAUUUGUUUCAGCGACCACAGAAAAAUAUCUAUACUUUUUGUGAAAUCAAUAAAGUAGAAAAUGUGAUGUCAAACCUUUGUUUUAAUAAAAUGAAAAAGGUUGAAACGUAUGUCGAUGUGCCUGGCCCAGUCCACAUAGUAAAGAAAUUUGGUCAUUCGUCCAAGUGGUAGUUCACAUCUUGCUAGUCUUCGCUAAAAUUUACCUUUUUUACUGAAAACAUGAUAUUAAAACUCUGUGAUAAACAUAAAAUUCAAAUUUGCCAGUACUUUACUUUACAUGUUUUUUUUUUUUUGGUCGAAACUUUACAUGUUUUAAGUCAAGAAAAAUAAUUGAAUUGUGUUCAAAUAACUUUCCUUAUUAUUAGUCUUGUAAGUUUUUUUUCAAUUUGUCUUGUAAGUUAUAUGAUAUUGAACCAACAACAAGACGUUUUUACAUACUUUAAACUGUUAUGUGACCACUACUUUACACAGCAUCUUUUUGCAGAUCCGUGUGUCAAUUGGUUAUCUAUAGAUUUGUGACACAUAUACAAUAUGAAUUGAUUUUUACCCUAUUAAUUAUACAAUAUGAUAUUUGUUAAGAAAUAACUUACAAUUUAUAGUAUCGAAAAAUUUAAAUAAGAGUAGAAUUUGAUAUCCGUAGGAAGCAAAUAACACUAGUAUAAGGGAGAGAGUUUAUUAUAAGGAAAAAGAAGAAGAUGUAAUAGUUCUAUGAUUAUAAACUCUUGUUCUUGUUUAUGGUGUACAAAUGAGUGAGAUGAGUGAUGGUAUUUAUAGUGAGCAACAAUACAUAAAAUAUGAAAGAUAGUGCUUGAGUUGGUAAAUGAGUGGAUGAUCAUAGUGCUUGAGUUUGGUAAAUAAGUGAAUGAUCAUUUCAAUGCUUAUCUUAUAACACUCCCCCUUGAUCAUUCAUCUUGUAUUACGUAAUACCUCGUUAAAAACCUAGUCAUGGAAAACUCAAUGGGAAAAACCGUAGUAAAAGUAAAAAGAGUACAACUACGUAAGCUCCCCCUCGAAUGAGUAAUCAUAGAACCUUUAGAACUCCCAACGGUCUUCUUUUCUGUGCCGAGGACGCGGUGAAGAGAGGCUGUUUUGGUGAUAUGUUAGAUGGAUCAGUCAGAGAAUGGCCCCUGGCUGAAGCUGAAGAACUAGCUCGUAUAGCAAUACAGUGUUCGCAGCUCAAAUGCAGAGACAGACCGGAUCUUGAUACACAAGUCUUGCCUGCGCUCAAACGGAUUCUUGAAUCUGCUAAGAGUAAACUCAAGACUGAACAAGCUAAAGCACGACCACCAAGUCAUUAUUACUGUCCAAUUCUUAAGGUAAACAAAUAGUGGACUCUCUUUCACAACAAACCAAUGUUCAAUAAAUCACUAGGAGGUGGUUGGACCCUUAUAUAAGAUUAUUAUUUAGGCGGACGUCUAUAUCGAUUUUCCGAAAGCUGACUAUUUUUUUAUUUUGAAAAAAAAAAAUUUAUUCAGAUCCAAUUUGCCAACUAUGCGAACUCAUAAACCAAAUUUUUAGAACACUUGAACAAACACAAUACUUAAUGGUUCGGGUUUUUUAACACAAUGUUUUUGAUUGCAGGAAAUAAUGGAAGAUCCACAAAUAGCAGCAGAUGGAUUCACGUACGAAGGAAAAGCGAUAAAAGCUUGGAUUCAGAACAAUCAAAAUGUGUCUCCCGUGACUAAAAAUCGGCUCAGACAUUGCGAUCUCGCACCUAACCAUACUCUCAAAUCGGCUAUACAAGAGUGGCGAUCUCGUUCAGGCUUAGACCUCUCCACUACUCUUGGCUCCUCUUGAUCACAUAUAUAUAUAUGCAUUUAAUAAUCUAAUUUGUAUAUACUAAAUACCCUGAACUUGUUUAAAUCGGGUGUGGUGUAUGAUUCUCGUUCCAUAAGGUUUAUUUUCGGAAGAAGACAAGAGGAGCAAAGACUAUUAAGAGAGCAUAGGUUUUGUUUUAUAUAUAAGAUUUUAUGUAUUGCGUUUUGAGGUUUUAUGCUGAAUGUUGUAAAUCUGUGGUGUCUUCAUGAGACCUUCAGUACGAUCGUUAUGAGAUCGUAACUCUUUUAGCAUCAUUUUUGUUAUGGAUCUUCGUUUUCAUUAUUGGAGUGGAAUUUCAGUUAGAUUGUGGACUGUUUUAUUUGUUCGCUUUUGAGUGUGUGGGUUUAAGUUUAGAGAUGUUUUGUGGUUUUGAACUUAACAAAUUGGUGUGGUGAGCAUAAAUCAAAGACGCGACCUCUAAUAAGGUUUAUUAUUGGAAGAAUACAAUAGGUGAAGAUAAGACAAAUGAAGUGAAAGAGAGGGUCAACUUCUGAUAAAGCUCAUUGACAAGCAGGAGCCGGCCCUGUAUCAUGCUAAGUGAUACAUUUGCCUCGUGCCCCCAAUUUUUUUGAAAAAUAUUACAUACGAAUAGGUUUCCAAAAAAAAAAAUUUAGGCUCUAAAAUUUGUAAAAAGAUUUCUUUUACAUAAACACAGCCACAUGCCUCCAAAAUGUCAGAACCGAUCCUGAAUCACAAACAGAUUCGAAAGCGUAUAUCAAGCAUGAACCAUCGUGAGUCCACCGCGAAAACUCAGCUUAUCAAAAGGCCAUGGCAACAUGGUUCUCUUUUAGAUAAUCUACUGUGAUGUAAAGCUAAUUUAUUUUGAAAACAUCUCUGGAGCAAGCAACUUUAGUUGUAAACAAUUUUUUUUUGUUGAAUUAAUUUAACAUUCUUUAAAAAAAAAAAAAGAGGAGAAAGACUUCGAGGAGAGCAUAUGCUUUACAUUUUUUAAGCCAACAAACAGAUGAUUUGCUUUUUUUCUCAAUUCUAUGUUGAAAAUGUAUGCCAUAGAGGUAGGAUACAUAAUGAAACACACAAAUCUGAAGGUGAGACUUGAACAGUAUUAAGUGUCUACAACUUUAUAUCUACAAAGAAGAGAGAUUCAUUAAUCAAACUUGAGUAAACUCAAGAGCGUUUGCGUCAGGAUCACGAGUGAAUAUCGCUGGCCUCCCUGACCUACUCAUAGUAUACUCAAUCCCUACAACACAAACAAACAAACAAACACAUCCUUAAAGCAAAAACAAGGAAGGAAAUGAGGCAAAAUGUUUAUAUAUAUACAUAUUACCAGCUUUGUCCAAAAUCUCUUUAAGGUUUGAAACAUCACGGAUUGCGAUACAAGCGUGUCGAUCCCGGCCUCCGUGCUCGGGUCUGCCUGUUAACGGAUCAGGAUUUGGAAGCUCCAUUAAAUGAAUCAUCUCCGAACCUACCCAUA
Molecule: long non-coding RNA, 4495 nt
Filed under: Brassica napus (rape)
Lineage: Eukaryota; Viridiplantae; Streptophyta; Magnoliopsida; Brassicales; Brassicaceae
Description: long non-coding RNA (BNAP_LNC023475)
Source: RNAcentral